Long non-coding RNA from Papaver somniferum (opium poppy), 612 nucleotides. RefSeq lists it as uncharacterized. The transcript has 3 exons. NCBI's taxonomy places the organism in Eukaryota, Viridiplantae, Streptophyta, Magnoliopsida, Ranunculales, Papaveraceae. The record is from RefSeq and is a predicted model, not a curated record.
CCUAUAGAGACGUAAAAUGAGUUCACGUGGAAAUAGUGACUACUGAGUUUCCGUCUAGGUCAAAGCGUUGAUGUUGAUCGAACGGAAACUACUUGUAAACUCUCAGGAAAAACUCGGAUUUGAAAAGGAAAGGGUAGCAAUGAGAGGGAUAUGGCGAAAAAGUUGAACAAGGAGAAAAACAAAUAGAAGAGGAGCAAGAAGGGCAACGUCAAACGACUACGAUUAUAAUUAGUUACAUCCUCCAACAGAAAUUUUUGAGACGGAAAAUUCCUUCAAUGACGCUAAUGGAUUAGGAUUAGUGUGAUAAAGUUGUUUCUUAACGAAAGAAAAGGCAAACAUAACGAUGUUGCCGUUUUUGAUGUGGGUUGUGGGGAAUGUACUAUCCCCAAACAAAAUCGAUGUUGUCCUGAAAACUUGAAACCGAUGUUUAGGGAUUUGAAUAUACUCCAUACUUACGAUUAAGGUUCAUCCAUUUAUGGUCAUACGUUGUGGAGCUUGUAUACGUGAGUUUAGAAGAAACCAGGGUUCGGAUGAUUUGGAUCCUUGGUCGGCGGAUAAGUUAUAUGAUGAUAACGAAAAAGUGAAAAAGGAAGAGGUAAACAUCAUGACACC